AUGACGAGCGGCGGACGGGUGAGUAAUGCAUAGGAAUCUGCCCAGUAGUGGGGGAUAGCCCGGGGAAACCCGGAUUAAUACCGCAUACGCCCUUCGGGGGAAAGCAGGGGAUCUUCGGACCUUGCGCUAUUGGAUGAGCCUAUGUCGGAUUAGCUAGUUGGUGGGGUAAAGGCCUACCAAGGCGACGAUCCGUAGCUGGUCUGAGAGGAUGAUCAGCCACAUCGGGACUGAGACACGGCCCGAACUCCUACGGGAGGCAGCAGUGGGGAAUAUUGGACAAUGGGGGCAACCCUGAUCCAGCCAUGCCGCGUGUGUGAAGAAGGCUUUCGGGUUGUAAAGCACUUUCAGUGAGGAGGAAAACCUUCUGGUUAAUACCCAUGAGGCUUGACGUUACUCACAGAAGAAGCACCGGCUAACUCCGUGCCAGCAGCCGCGGUAAUACGGAGGGUGCAAGCGUUAAUCGGAAUUACUGGGCGUAAAGCGCGCGUAGGUGGUUUGAUAAGCGAGAUGUGAAAGCCCCGGGCUUAACCUGGGAACGGCAUUUCG
This 546-nucleotide ribosomal RNA is filed under the name Marinobacter gudaonensis. Its description in RNAcentral is "bacterial SSU rRNA". It matches the Rfam family "Bacterial small subunit ribosomal RNA", at positions 88 to 630 of the family's 1533-position model. Lineage: Bacteria; Pseudomonadati; Pseudomonadota; Gammaproteobacteria; Pseudomonadales; Marinobacteraceae. The record is from RNAcentral.